AUCCUUUUGUAGUUCUUAAGUGUGAUGACUGGGUGCUCACACACAAGAGGUGCCUCUCAAACCUUGUUAUGACAUCGGCAUAUGACCCAUCUGACA
Pongo abelii (Sumatran orangutan) is the source of this 96-nucleotide small nucleolar RNA. Lineage: Eukaryota; Metazoa; Chordata; Mammalia; Primates; Hominidae. The record is from Ensembl.